AUCAAGGGGUGCUGACCUGGUUGGUCUGGCUGAGAUGAUACCCUUAUGAACCUGAUUCGGGUAAUUCCGACGUAGGGAUGGAUAAGU
Molecule: non-coding RNA, 87 nt
Filed under: uncultured Prevotella sp.
Lineage: Bacteria; Pseudomonadati; Bacteroidota; Bacteroidia; Bacteroidales; Prevotellaceae
Source: RNAcentral